This 8304-nucleotide long non-coding RNA is filed under the name Heterocephalus glaber (naked mole-rat). Its description in RNAcentral is "lncRNA (ENSHGLG00000035971.1)". The record is from RNAcentral. Lineage: Eukaryota; Metazoa; Chordata; Mammalia; Rodentia; Bathyergidae.
AUGCACUGUUCCUCCACCGCUGUGGUCAAUGAUUUCCAAAAUCAGGCCAGCCCUUAGACCUAUACCAUGUGACUUUCUGUAAAGCAGAGGUUUGGCUUAUUACUUGGUUAGCUGAGUGGACAAAGCUCUAGUCGUUCAACCCUGAACACAGGUCUGUCUGAACACAGGCAACUGAGCAGAUAAUUUUGUAGAUUCUCUAGUUCUGUAGGAAGUGUCCAAAGUGGAUAUAACAAGCUAACUAUGUGAUCAGAUGACAGAAAGACCCUAAUUAGAAGGACACCCAUGGACCAGCACCUGUAAAAGAGAAGAAACUUGCCAAAGUGAGCAAGGGUAGAUGCCACACAUGGAAGGCAAGCAGGCAAUGGUCAAGUACAGGGAUGUCUGUAUGCAACUCGUUUAAAAAAGCAACAAGACUUGAGAUUACAACCCAGGGAGCAAGAAUUCCAUCCUCUUGUUCCAGGUGCAGCAGGACCAACGUCUCCGACCUAGAUGAUGAGCCAGCCUGCAUGGAAGAGGUUGACUACACUUCAGAUGGCAGCUCAGACCAGGAUGAGAGCAUCCUUGAGCUGGACCGGCAGAUCCAGGCAUGUGCCUUCAAUCAGGAUGAGGGAGAAGAAGAGGAGGGGACAAGGCAGAGAAGAAACACCAUCCUGUAAUCCUGAGGUUCAUAGAAACUCUGUUUCCAGUCACUGGACUCAGACACACACAGCGUGAAAUGGCCUGUGUGAGCUCCUGAUUUCAUUCUAGUUCUACUAUGCAUAGAGUCUGGUUACUUCUCGAUUAUAACAUUUUUCUACACUGCUGUACUGCCCUUGGAGCCUAUACAUGCUGCCGUUGCAAUUAGAAUGGGACUCCAUGGUAUGGGAUUACCAUGGGGCCUCUCCAGACAGCACUGAGCUCCCCUGCAUUCCUGUGCUUGAAGCUGAAGCUGGCUGGAAGCAGAGGAGUGGGCUUUCUUCCUGGUUUCUCAAUCAGAAAUCUAUAUGCCUUUAAAUUGUUCCAUAUAUGAGUGUUACAUCAACCAUAGCAUCUGAGCUUUCCAGCACCAACAUAAGCCACUGAAACUCUGAGGGUCCUGGAAGGGUCAGAAAGUAUUGGAUGAUUGAACAUAGAAGGCUGUGCAGUCAGGUAAUUGCAAAUAUCAUCCUGCAGGUCUGUAACAGUAUACAUUUUAUGGAUUUGGUAGAGGCCAGAAGCUCGGUUAGAUUCUAUGGAAUAAGACAUGAUCACUGGUCCUCGCAAAUUUCAAAACCCUACAUAUUCAGGCCAUUAAACACACUCGGGAAGACAGCGUGAUACCCUGGAAAAUGCAUUCAUUUCAGAAUCAGACAGACAAAUGAGGUUUGUAUCCUGGAUCUGGCAUUGCCUGUUAUGAAAAUGUAGGCAAGUAAUUGGAUCUCUCCAAACUUCAGAGUUUUUAUGCAUCCAGUAAGAAUGAGUGUAUGUAUACCAUGAAGUUAUCCCAAAGAUGAAAUGAGAUAUAAAAGUGUGCAGCUUGGCACAUGCUACACAAUAGUGUUGGCUUUUUCCCCUCCACAACACAAAGGUAUUAUAUGUAAGUAGUCUCACAGUUACACACAAAAAAAUGUUCUCUGGGGCCACAUGAUUGAGAAAUAUUCUUUCUCGAAGGGAUCUGGAAAGGAAGUUACAUGGAGGAAGAGCCUAGGUGAGUGAAUGGCUUGAGAGUCUGUGUGCAGAAGGAAGCAUCUCAGAAACAUGAUUGCUGAGGUUAGGGAGGUAGAUAGAAGGGGGACAAUGAUGAGGAGUAUAUUCUAAGUCAAAUACGAGUCUGUUCAAUGCCAUAUGUAUUUAAUCAGGAUUGGAUUUGGCUAUGAGAGAUGGAAAAUUCAAAAUACUAGUAGCUUUGGCAAGGUAUAAGUUUUCUUUCAUACAGAAUUUCACAUGUACAGAGGCCAGAGCUGGUACCUUGGCUGCAUUAUGUCAGAGACCCAGCUUCUAGUCCUCUAGCUCUGCCGUGUGUUGCUUCUAUUCUUGACCUAGAAUUGCUGCAAAAGCAUCAGCUUUUCUCUCUGCAUCCCAGAGAGCAGCAAAAAGAAUACCAAAAAAGAACAUGUUUCCUACUUUGGAAAAAAUCUAUGCAUGGUAUUUGUGCUUGAUCCCACCAACCAGAAAGUUGUCCAAUGACCACAGGUAACUGCAGGGGAGGUCCGAAAAUAUAGCCUUUAUCUGAGAUGGGCCCAGCUGAAAUUUAAAGUUUUAAUGCUAAGGGAAUUGGAAAUAAAAUAGUGUAUACUGGGUGAUCACGUACUUGAAAAAGAGAGUUUGCCUAGCAUACCACCACCCAAAGAGUUUUGAAGCUUUAAAAUAAUUCCAGAGAAUAUGUAUAGUGUUCGCUUGCUCUGAUCAGCAGAAAGAUACAGAGCAAAAGUUUGCCAUAGUUUAAGCAUAAGACAUAAGAGAAAAGCAUGUGUGUUGUGAUUUUGAUUUAGGGAAUUGAUAUUAUUACUUGAUAUUACUUGAUAUUAUAUUAUCUCUGCUGUUUCCUAUUCUUUUUCAGAGUUUCUGGUGUAGCUCAGAAAUUACACACCUAUCCUUCAUAUUAAGACAUUCAGAUUUCUAUGACAUACACAAGAGGUUUGAAGGAAAUAACAAAUCUGAAUUCAGAUCCCAAAGUAACAGCAUCUUUUAACUUCUCCUUUAUACAUUUUUGCCAAUUUUGAAUAGAGAAAUACAUAAUGCUCCUGGUUCUCCAUUGCUUUGAGGAGUUAUGAAAAAAAUAUUGCUGAAAUGUAAAUGCUGGAAAGGGGUGGGAACAAUACUAACUCGCUAUCAGCAAGUAAUACCUCAGCCCAAAUUAAUUUAUGAGAUUAAUUUGUGAUCAACUAGCACAGUUAUGAGAAAAAAGGGAGAAAAGCAGGUGAGUUUCAAUAUAGAAACUUCUGAAAAAAUCAGACACUUGGAACACUUAUUGAUUUAUCUAUACAACAAAGGUAUAUUAAUUGCCCACUGUGUGUCCUGCACUUUUUUAAGCUCUAAGAAUUUAGAGAAAGAAGAUUUACUAUGAACUCAAGUUACUGUAACUUGAUAAGUAAGAAUAGCAAGUAUUUUAUUUUAAGAUAGGGACAUAUAACAUUAUGGGAAUCUGAAAAUGAUAAUAUGGAAAACCCUUAAGAUUGUGGUGGCAAAAGUCUACUAGAAGAUGAAAAUGUAGAUGACAUGUUCAGAAGUUUCAGGCAGGACAUGUUAAGAAAUAGAGAAAGCUUGAAUAGAGGACCUGUGGUAAGGUUAGGACAUGGACUAAAAUGUUCAGUGUUACUAGUUUAAAGAAUAUAGUUGUAUAUUGAGAAACAAGGAAAAUAGCAAGAGAUUAAGUAGAAAAACUAGAUACUAGAUAGCAAUCAGAUGUAACAAUAUUUGCUAUGCCCUGAGGAAGGAGUUGAACUUAAUUCCCAGCGUGGUAGGGGAGAACUACAAAACUUUUCAGCAGUGGCAUGUCUAGAACUACGCACAAUACUAGCACACGUGUCAGCACCAUAGUCCCAACCUGUUCGUAGCCUAGAGUCUGGCACUCUUGCCAGGCUGGUUGUUGACUACCGUGAGGCUACUGCUGGGUGUGGCAUUUUGAUACCUGAAGAACAAUAUUUACAGCGAGGUAAAGAUUAUGGUGCCAUGCUGGUUGUUGGAGACCAACAAGCUACUGGAUUGGAAAGGACCCCUGCAAGCCAGAGGCAUGUCGGGAAAAGGAAGCAUAAGGAGAAGUAUAUACGGAUAAGCACACUCUUAUUGCCCCCUCCAUUCACACACACUACUUGUUGAGCCACACAACACCGUAAGUAUACCAAUUGCUUUUUAGAACCAUUUUUCAGGUUUCUGUUGCUUCUGCUGAGCUUCUCUUCUCCGAUUACCCUAUUUGAGGCAAUGAAAACCCGUUCAGAUUCACCUUUCUCCUUUUAUAAACACCAAAGCCAACUUACACAACCUGUCUUCUGUGCACCAUUGUAUUAUUUAUACAUCUAUUUAGCAGCACACUUUCCAGCUUCUAUACACUGUAUACCCUCACCCCAGGCAGUAGUGAGUAAUGAGCUCUAAAAUGCAUGAACCUGCUAUUAUUUUGGGAUCCCUCUUCCCACCACGCAAACUUUCUGACAUGUUGAAGGUAUUCAGGAAAAUGUGUCCCCUGCUUGACUCCCAGCUUCCAAACUAGACAUCUAAUAUCUUAAUAUCUCAUACAUUUCCUUGCCUUUCUCCAAUUUUCUAUCUUCAAUCAGAGUUUGUGUUAUAUGAAAGAAAAAUAGUUUCAUGAAAAGGGCAUCUUGCAAAGGUACAGAACCUCCCCAGCAGGCAGUUGCCAUGGAAGGCUGCUUCCAGAGUGAGGCCAGCUUAAGAAGGAUCCGGUGGCCUUGUCCUCACUGGUGUAACGCAGACACUUGGACUGAGCAGUGACAAUGGAGCAAAGGCGCCUCUAAGUUUCCCUGGUGGCUGCCGCAUUCAUCCGGGUGCUCUGGACCAUGCAGUCACUUUGGUGGGAACUGGCUGGGUGGCUCCGUGUGCCUUGUACCAACUUGACUGCUUGGGUGCUUUGCUUCUUGCAAUCCCACCAGCGAGUAUCAGCAUCCAAGGAUUCCAUCCACUGGCUCCAGGUUCUCUUAAGCCUCCAGAGAAAAGGAUUCAGAGUCAUAAAGAACAUUUGAGAUUAACCUGGUCCCUGAGCUACAAGCACACAUUGAGGGCUGCCAACACCAAUAAAGUCACAUUAAACUCCCAACCACAGGAGAAAUUCUCACAUGCAGCUUCCAUUCAUUAGCCUGGAGACUUAGCUGUAGAGUUGAUUUCAUGUUCCAAGAGAAGAGGCUUCUAUGAAAUGCCUGACAUAAGUCAUCCUUGUUAGGAAUUAGCACAGUGACCCACGUGGUGGAUCUGGACAUUUGGGUUAGCAUUAGAGUGAUGGAUUUAUUUUGCCCCGCUGGUACCCCUCACCCCUGCUCCCAAAAGCUUCCAUCUUCCAAAGAUGCAUAGACAGUAGACUGCUCCUCACCACAAGAGUUUUGGUCUAGAGCUGCUGCUAUCUGCCGAACAAGGUCCUCUUUUGUUUGUGUUGGAAUUUGGCUACAUGAAUGCCCUCUUGAUUCUUGAUUUUUAAAACGUGUUGUUUAGAUAAAAAUGAGUGGUAAAAAGGACUUUUGAAAUAAAAAUGGAUUGGAUUGCAUCUUUUCAGUGCCUAGUGAUAAAAAGAUAAUUUUGUAUGUAAUGUAAAAAGCAUCUACUUCAUACAUGCCAGCACAGUGAGGCUGAAAUUGAACUUAAACUCCCUACCACAUCUUCCUCCCCAGCACACACACAUACACACACAGAGAAAGAGUACUUAUAGGGCUUUAGGCAAGAGAACAAAGAGUGAGAGAAGUUUUAUCAUCAGCCUCAUGUUUAUAAAGGCAGGAGGUGGUGAGGGGAUGAUUUUAGGUCAUACUCUCACACAGAAACAGAGAUCUUCAGAGUAUAAGGAGAGGUUCAUCUCUCAUCAUCAUGACAUAAACUAGUCUCCAAAUGUUUUGCAUAUUCUAGGCUUAUUUGGGUCACAAAAUAAAAUGGGUUUAGACUCCUUGGCAGAGAACACAUUCUGUGAGAAAAUUACUGAAUUAACUACAUCUAGGUCUUAUGACACAAAGGCAGCCACACAAAGGAGGGCAUUGGACUGUUAAUAUACCUGAAGCAAACUGACUCUUCUACAUAGGAGGAUUUCCAUGAUCCUUUAUGGUUUUUGAGGCCUUGAGGGGUUAAAAUUAUUUCUUGGGAAGAAACAAGUAUAAUGACCAACUCCACAACAAAAUCAUAAAAUUUAAGCACGAUUCUUUGGAGCAGUCUAGCAGAAGUGUUUGAAUGUGACUGUGGUCUUUGGGGGCAAGAUAAGACACAGCACCAAGGUCAGUUCUGUAGUAACCGGAAGAAAUGCGAAGAAGCCAAGAAACCAACAGUUCUGCCAUCCAAGUGUCCAGCAUGUGGAGGUUACAUAGAUAAUAUUCUUGGAGAGAAUAUCAACAGGCCCCACCCACACUCCAAACUAAAGAGGAUGUUAUUUUAGAAGGUAUCAUGGGAGAAAAUAUCUGCCUGCAACCCUUCUCUCUGCUCAUACAAUUACAUAAUCACUCACUUAACUCUCAUUCCCUUUCUGUGGGAUAGAUUGGGAUUGCGAUGAUUGCCAUCUUCAAAAUGAAGCUCAGCUAUACUUCUAGUGACAAUUUCAGUGAAGAAUGAAAGUGGAAUUUGUUCCCAGAGAAGUCUGACUUCUCCAUGCAUGAUUGUUCCAGUAUCCCAAAGGAGGUGACAUAAAUAGUACCACAGGAAUGGGCAAUUACAGCUAACAUUAGUAAAUAUGAAUAUUACUAUCUAUAACUGCCUUAGACUAUUGUUCAUAUUGCCAUGUUUAUCACUGACAACCCAGACCUACCUGAGGCAAUCCCUCUUGUUAUGAUCAUUUCAUAGGUGAAAGUACUGGGUAACAAUGAAGGUAAGGACAUAUGUAAAAUGAUGCAUCUAGUGUGACAUUUAAUUAUGAUUAGCAACUUGACUGGAUUAAGAGACACCUAGGAGAUUAUUAAAGCAUACUUCUUGGUGUGUCUUUGGGGGUGUUUCCAAAGAUGACUGGCAUGUAGGCCAGCAAAUUCAGUGAGGAAAUAUCCACACCUGAUUGUGGGUUGCACCAUCCAAUAGUCUGAGGACCUAGAUGGAACAGAAAGAGGAAGCAGGAGAAAGCUAUCCCAUACUUGCAAGCUCCAUUCUGGUUGCCUCUUUUGCUGGUGUCAUUGCCUGAGGAUAUCAGGCUCUCAUUUCUUCAGCCUUCAAUGCAGACUCACACCAGGACCCUCCAGGGAACUUCCAGGCCUUCAGACUCAGAUUGGCACUGCAUCUUUAAUCCCUCUUGUUCUAAACUUCCAGUUUCUUGAACUGAGGAAUUACUGAAUCCUCUGGCUCCCCACUUUGCAGACAGCCAAUAAAGUCCAUUUAUUCUGUUCCUCCAGAGAACUAUGAUCCAUACAGUUAGUAAGAACCUUGACUUUACUAUAGAGAAUCUGCUUCCUAAACACAUCAAGGAAAAUGCCUUUCUUCAAAGAACCUCUAAGAACCUUUUUGAGGCCAUAGAACACCUCUGUCUCUGGGAAUGUAUGUUGUUUUCAAUAUUUAACCCAAAUAUAAACAACUUGUUCUAAAUGUCUCAACAGGUUCAAAGUCAGACUUUCAUUAUCUCCUCCCAUUUUCACUAAACUCUUCCUCCAAGGUCCUGGACUUGACCAUGUCAAUGGGAAUCUGUGUUCCCUGAUGCUCAGCCCAGGUCCAAACUAGAAACUCAGCUCUUUACUAGAAGGAUGAAGCUGCCAGUGUUUUCUAGUCUGACCCUUAGCUUUAAUUUGAAUCUAUCCACAGCUUCCUCCACUUGGGGCAUUUUUCACCUAGAUUUUAGCAAUGGUUUCCUCUCAUUCUUCUAACCUUUGGUUUCGCCUCCUUCCAACUCUUUGAGCAGCAAAAUGGCAUUUGGAAUGAAAAAGAAUUUCUGUACCUGCUGCUUACAUCUGUUAGAGGCUUCCUAUGGUCCCAGGGAUAAAUGUGAACAGACGCUGGACUUGAACACCACCUGAUUUAGUCUCUGGUUAUGUUUUUGGUCUCCUUUCUUAAUACAAAUCCCUGCAUCAUGUGCUUAUAUGCACUCUUCUCCAAGAACAUGGUUUGCUUCUAAGACCCCACAUCUUAAAGAACUUCUAUCAGUUUUUGUUGCAUGGCAUUUCCUGUGAGUUCUCUCCUCCCACCAGAGUAGGGUUUUUUUGCAGAACAAAGAUGAUGUUGUUCAUUGCUCCAUCCUGAGAACCUAGCACCUGGCCCAUGACAUAGUGGGCCUUCAUUAAAUAUGUGUUGAAUGGAGCUGGGGAUUUAGCUCAAUGGUACCACGUCUGCCUUGCAAGCGCAAGGUCCUGAGUUCAAUCCCUGGUGUAAAAAAAAUAACGUGUUGAAUGAUUGAGAUCUUAAUUUCCACUGCAACCUCUCCUAAGAAUGACCUCUUACCCAUUGCCUCAGUAACUUAUUAAGCAUGGAUAGUGGUUGCUGCAGCAAAGUGGGACAUGUAUGUGUCUAGCUGACUCAGUGUAGUAAGGAAUCAUCCAGGAAAAGUCUCCCUCAGCCCUUUGCUGCCAUGCCUCCUGCUCUGUAAUUUUCCAGAAUCAGCUUCGUUUUUCCUCCAAAUGGCCUGUAGAGGUCAGAAAAGGCCCUUGGUUUCCAAUCACCAACUGUUCUCUGCCUCUAUUAGCAUUCACCCCUGGUGUGUAUAAUUAAGCAAGCCUAGGCUGGGCACAUAGGAAC